Molecule: long non-coding RNA, 535 nt
Organism: Hemicordylus capensis (graceful crag lizard)
Lineage: Eukaryota; Metazoa; Chordata; Lepidosauria; Squamata; Cordylidae
Exons: 2
Source: RefSeq, a predicted model, not a curated record
CUUGUCGACUAGUAAGCGUUUUUUCUCCUCAAGAAGAUGUAAGAGGAAGGGUUGCCUGUAUAAAGAUUGUAAGCUUAAAUAGGAGGAAAGUUGAAUAAUUGUGGUCUCUGAUGAAGGAUCAGGAUCAUCCAAAAUGGGCUUAAGAAUCCCAGGUUAGCCUAUUGGACUUUCUCCAGUUUGGCAAGAAGCUUCAGCUCCCCUUUGUGAUGCUAUAUUUUUUCACAUGCAUGCUCAGACAUUACUCCAUAUAUCUACGUUUGUGACUCAUUUGGAAUCCUUAUCAACGUUGGAGUGCUUACUAUUCUCUAUAUGGACUUAUAUACUAUAAUUUGUAGUGUAUUUAUGUGCUUGUCCAGAUGUACAUUCAUUCUUUGUUAUGAUUAUUCACUCACUAUUUGAGUCAAUGAGUUUGGGUAUAUGUAUGUGCAGCAUUAGUUGCCAGAUCACUGCUUUUUGUUCCAGUUUUCUAGAUUAGUGAUUGACAUGACUUUAUCACUUACAUUUACAAUAUAGCAUCCAGAAUUUGUCAUACGGA